UUGUUACUCCCUCCGACCCAUAUUACUUGUCUCAAAUUUGCCCAAAUAUGGAUGUAUCUAUGUUUAAAAAGCGUCUAGAUAUAUGUAAUAUUAUGACAAGUAAUAUGGGUCGGAGGGAGUAUUAC
Non-coding RNA from Brachypodium distachyon (stiff brome), 125 nucleotides. NCBI's taxonomy places the organism in Eukaryota, Viridiplantae, Streptophyta, Magnoliopsida, Poales, Poaceae. The record is from Rfam.